AUAUCAAUAAGCGGAGGAAAAGAAACCAACAGGGAUUGCCUCAGUAACGGCGAGUGAAGCGGCAAAAGCUCAAAUUUGAAAUCUAGUACCUUCGGUGCUCGAGUUGUAAUUUGAAGAUAGUUUUCUGGCACUGGCCCUUGUCUAUGUUCCUUGGAACAGGACGUCAUAGAGGGUGAGAAUCCCGUCUGAUGGGGUGUCCAGUGCUUUGUAGAUUUCUAUCGAAGAGUCGAGUUGUUUGGGAAUGCAGCUCUAAGUGGGUGGUAAAUUCCAUCUAAAGCUAAAUACUGGCGAGAGACCGAUAGCGAACAAGUACAGUGAUGGAAAGAUGAAAAGAACUUUGAAAAGAGAGUGAAAAAGUACGUGAAAUUGUUGAAAGGGAAGGAUAUUGGAUCAGACUUGGUGUUUUGUGAUUAUCUUCCCUUCUUGGGUUGUGCACUCGCAUUUCACUGGGCCAGCAUCGGUUCGGAUGGCAGGAUAAUGGCUUGGGAACGUGGCACCCCUCGGGGUGUGUUAUAGCCCUUGUUGAUGCUGCCUAUCUGGACCGAGGACUGCGGCUUUUGCCUAGGAUGCUGGCGUAAUGAUUCAAUAUCGC
RNAcentral lists this ribosomal RNA (592 nucleotides) under Petasospora mycetangii. RNAcentral describes it as "eukaryotic LSU rRNA". It matches the Rfam family "Eukaryotic large subunit ribosomal RNA", at positions 40 to 648 of the family's 3401-position model. The record is from RNAcentral. Lineage: Eukaryota; Fungi; Ascomycota; Saccharomycetes; Phaffomycetales; Wickerhamomycetaceae.